This 443-nucleotide ribosomal RNA is filed under the name uncultured bacterium. RNAcentral describes it as "partial 16S ribosomal RNA". It matches the Rfam family "Bacterial small subunit ribosomal RNA", at positions 338 to 795 of the family's 1533-position model. The record is from RNAcentral.
CCUACGGGAGGCUGCAGUGGGGAAUAUUGGGCAAUGGGCGCAAGCCUGACCCAGCAACGCCGCGUGAAGGAAGAAGGCUUUCGGGUUGUAAACUUCUUUUGUCAGGGACGAAGCAAGUGACGGUACCUGACGAAUAAGCCACGGCUAACUACGUGCCAGCAGCCGCGGUAAUACGGAGGUGGCAAGCGUUAUCCGGAUUUACUGGGUGUAAAGGGCGUGUAGGCGGGACUGCAAGUCAGAUGUGAAAACCACGGGCUCAACCUGUGGCCUGCAUUUGAAACUGUAGUUCUCGAGUGCGGUAGAGGAGAGCGGAAUUCCCGGUGUAGCGGUGGAAUGCGGAGAUAUCGGGAAGAACACCGAUGGCGAAGGCAGGUCUCUGGGCCGUCACUGACGCUGAGGCGCGAAAGCUGGGGGAGCGAACAGGAUUAGAUACCCCGGUAGUC